RNAcentral lists this ribosomal RNA (253 nucleotides) under uncultured bacterium. RNAcentral's name for it is "partial 16S ribosomal RNA". It matches the Rfam family "Bacterial small subunit ribosomal RNA", at positions 524 to 776 of the family's 1533-position model. The record is from RNAcentral.
UACGUAGGGUGCGAGCGUUAAUCGGAAUUACUGGGCGUAAAGCGUGCGCAGGCGGCGCGUUAAGACAGGUGUGAAAGCCCCGAGCUUAACUUGGGAAUUGCGCUUGUGACUGGCGUGCUGGAGUGUGGCAGAGGGAGGUGGAAUUCCACGUGUAGCAGUGAAAUGCGUAGAGAUGUGGAGGAACACCGAUGGCGAAGACAGCCUCCUGGGCCAGCACUGACGCUCAUGCACGAAAGCGUGGGGAGCAAACAGG